RNAcentral lists this ribosomal RNA (433 nucleotides) under uncultured bacterium. RNAcentral describes it as "partial 16S ribosomal RNA". It matches the Rfam family "Bacterial small subunit ribosomal RNA", at positions 29 to 507 of the family's 1533-position model. The record is from RNAcentral.
AGCGAACGCUGGCGGCAGGCCUAACACAUGCAAGUCGAACGAACUCUUCGGAGUUAGUGGCGGACGGGUGAGUAACACGUGGGAACGUGCCUUUAGGUUCGGAAUAACUCAGGGAAACUUGUGCUAAUACCGAAUGUGCCCUUCGGGGGAAAGAUUUAUCGCCUUUAGAGCGGCCCGCGUCUGUUUAGCUAGUUGGUGAGGUAAAGGCUCACCAAGGCGACGAUCAGUAGCUGGUCUGAGAGGAUGAUCAGCCACAUUGGGACUGAGACACGGCCCAAACUCCUACGGGAGGCAGCAGUGGGGAAUCUUGCGCAAUGGGCGAAAGCCUGACGCAGCCAUGCCGCGUGAAUGAUGAAGGUCUUAGGAUUGUAAAAUUCUUUCACCGGGGACGAUAAUGACGGUACCCGGAGAAGAAGCCCCGGCUAACUUCGUG